This 657-nucleotide ribosomal RNA is filed under the name Trichoderma citrinoviride. Its description in RNAcentral is "eukaryotic LSU rRNA". The stretch from base 275 to 428 matches the Rfam family "5.8S ribosomal RNA". Lineage: Eukaryota; Fungi; Ascomycota; Sordariomycetes; Hypocreales; Hypocreaceae. The record is from RNAcentral.
GGAAGUAAAAGUCGUAACAAGGUCUCCGUUGGUGAACCAGCGGAGGGAUCAUUACCGAGUUUACAACUCCCAAACCCAAUGUGAACGUUACCAAUCUGUUGCCUCGGCGGGAUUCUCUGCCCCGGGCGCGUCGCAGCCCCGGAUCCCAUGGCGCCCGCCGGAGGACCAACUCAAACUCUUUUUUCUCUCCGUCGCGGCCUACGUCGCGGCUCUGUUUUAUUUUUGCUCUGAGCCUUUCUCGGCGACCCUAGCGGGCGUCUCGAAAAUGAAUCAAAACUUUCAACAACGGAUCUCUUGGUUCUGGCAUCGAUGAAGAACGCAGCGAAAUGCGAUAAGUAAUGUGAAUUGCAGAAUUCAGUGAAUCAUCGAAUCUUUGAACGCACAUUGCGCCCGCCAGUAUUCUGGCGGGCAUGCCUGUCCGAGCGUCAUUUCAACCCUCGAACCCCUCCGGGGGGUCGGCGUUGGGGAUCGGCCCCUCACCGGGCCGCCCCCGAAAUACAGUGGCGGUCUCGCCGCAGCCUCUCCUGCGCAGUAGUUUGCACACUCGCACCGGGAGCGCGGCGCGGCCACAGCCGUAAAACACCCCAAACUCUGAAAUGUUGACCUCGGAUCAGGUAGGAAUACCCGCUGAACUUAAGCAUAUCAAUAAGCGGAGGA